GUCCUACGGGGGGCAGCAGUGGGGAAUCUUGCACAAUGGGCGAAAGCCUGAUGAAGCAACGCCGCGUGAGAGAAGAAGGCCUUUGGGUCGUAAAGCUCUGUCCUAAGGGGAGAAGGAAGUGACGGUACCUUAGGAGGAAGCCCCGGCUAACUACGUGCCAGCAGCCGCGGUAAUACGUAGGGGGCAAGCGUUAUCCGGAAUUAUUGGGCGUAAAGAGUACGUAGGCGGUUUUUUAAGCGCAGGGUUUAAGGCGAUAGCUUAACUCUCGUUCGCUCUGCGUAAUGGGGGACUUGAAUAUCGGAGAG
This 305-nucleotide ribosomal RNA is filed under the name uncultured bacterium. RNAcentral's name for it is "bacterial SSU rRNA". It matches the Rfam family "Bacterial small subunit ribosomal RNA", at positions 335 to 656 of the family's 1533-position model. The record is from RNAcentral.